UACGUAGGGUGCGAGCGUUGUCCGGAAUUACUGGGCGUAAAGAGCUCGUAGGUGGUUUGUCGCGUUGUCCGUGAAAACUCACAACUCAAUUGUGGGCGUGCGGGCGAUACGGGCAGACUGGAGUACUGCAGGGGAGACUGGAAUUCCUGGUGUAGCGGUGGAAUGCGCAGAUAUCAGGAGGAACACCUGUGGCGAAGGCGGCCGACUGGGCCGACCCUGACGCUGAGGCGCGAAGGCGUGGGGAGCAAACAGG
This 253-nucleotide ribosomal RNA is filed under the name uncultured bacterium. RNAcentral's name for it is "partial 16S ribosomal RNA". It matches the Rfam family "Bacterial small subunit ribosomal RNA", at positions 524 to 776 of the family's 1533-position model. The record is from RNAcentral.